UUUUAUAGGUAUUUUUUGCUAUAAAUUCAGUACAAUUUCCUUUACAAAUCGAACUGUUCGUAUUUUACGCAUCACCACUAUUGCUGGAACUGAGCAACACAUACACUAAAAUACUCGAAAUCUCGUGGGGAUUCGGAAUUCGUGAACAAUUUAGACUGCGUGUGUCUCAUUUGGUCGGAAAUGGCCCCAACACUAGCUUUGCCACUGCCAUCCCUGGCGGUUCCGGCAUCCGAGCUUCGUCACCGGAAUUGGUAGAGAGGAAAAGCUCGCCUGGAGGAGAGGAGUCAUUCCAGACCCAUCUCGAGGCCUAGUCUCAUCGAAAUCAAUAAGGACAGCCAAAAAAUUGAGGAAUAACGGCUAUUGACGGAAGCAGUCCCGAUUCACGCUAAUAGAAGCCUUUUCUGCAUGCAAGAAAACUGAAAACAUGACCAGUAACAGAAGUUGAGUCGAUCGCCACCUUGCUCUUCGUCGAGCAAUGGCCGAAAACGGGAAGGAGGGGGAGAGCGGUGCUGUGUGUAUUUUUAUUUUAUUUUUUUGUCUUUGGUCUUUAUAUAUAUAGUCUGAUUUGGUCCAAAUCGAUUGGUUUGGUUCAAACCAAGUUUUAAAAUAUUUUGCCUUGGUUUUUGAGCGGUUCAGACCCGAUUUAAGUGGUUUUUGAUUUGAAUUUUAACCCAACUAAUUUCAU
RNAcentral lists this long non-coding RNA (685 nucleotides) under Jatropha curcas. Its description in RNAcentral is "long non-coding RNA (JCUR_LNC002817)". Lineage: Eukaryota; Viridiplantae; Streptophyta; Magnoliopsida; Malpighiales; Euphorbiaceae. The record is from RNAcentral.